RNAcentral lists this long non-coding RNA (4483 nucleotides) under Sus scrofa (pig). RNAcentral's name for it is "lncRNA (ENSSSCG00000054957.1)". The record is from RNAcentral. Lineage: Eukaryota; Metazoa; Chordata; Mammalia; Artiodactyla; Suidae.
ACUUCCUGCCAGGGAGAGAACAGGGUGUGAUAGACGUGGGGCCCGUAAACUGAGCAGAUGGAGUGCUUUGUUUUUAGCAUGCUGGACAGGCUCUUCUGGGGAUCUGAACUUCCUGUAGCUAACAUAGGAAACCCAAAGUAGUACCUGGGGCCCUCCCCUCCUGAUUCUGAUUUUUGUAUUAGGACCACCAUGACCUUCUGACAACAUUGUAGCAUUUAUUGAGAGAGAAGAGAUCACCAAAAUGACCACUUUCAAUAUUGACCAGUCACAUGCCCAGGAAGUCUGUUAUCUUACCAGCAACAAAAACCGGUUUUCUCACAUGUUACAAAAGGGGAAAUAAAGGCCCAAGUAGGGGCUGAGCGGGAAAAUUCUGAUGCCAGUAGAAUAAUGGCAUUGCAAGUUUGUUUAUAAUUUGUCUUGGAGGCAGAAGAAAGUAUUUUAUACAGUAGCUUGUUUUCUAGAAAGGUAACUGUAAAUGGCAUUUUUGUGGCAUGUGGAAGUUCCCAGGCUAGUGGUCGAAUUGGAGCUGUAGCUGCCGGCCUACAAUGCCUCAGACACAGCAAUAUGGGAUUCGAGCCAUGUCUUUGACCUACAUCACAGCCCAGGGUAACACCAGAUCCCCAAUCCACUCAGCAAGGCCAGGGAUUGAACCCACAUCCUUAUGGAUACUAGUCGGAUUCAUUACACUGUGCCACAACAGGAACUCCCGGAAUUUUACUUUAAAUACACUUUAGGAGUUGGCUUUUUAAGGGAUUCUUUUGGAGACCUCCUUGUGAUAAUUCUUUAUGGUUCAUAGGUUUGUAUUUUUGAUGCUUUUCAUCCAUCCCAGUUUUUUAAAGCAACAAUCAUUUUAAUUUUCUUACAAGCUAAAUAAAUUGCUCUUUGCUCUCUGGAACAAUUUUUUUGAUCUUUGUUACUUUCCUUGAGGAAAAACAAGGUUUUUUUUUUUUGUUUUUAGUUAAACAUUUUUGCUUCCUUGUCUUCAUUUCUUUUUAUUUCCUAGAGUUACCAAAUGAUGAGAAGACUAGGAAUUUAUUGAUUUUUUGACUUCAUUAUCAAGGCACAAUCCUGAGAAAAUUAGGAAAGCCCCAUCCACCCCACCCUGGAGAAUUACUGUAUUAAAUGGUCUAUUACAGCAUAACAUUAUCUGAUUAUUUUUCUCUUGUCAGUGAGAAAAAAUGUGUGUUUUAAUGGGAGUAUAGGAAAGAAGGAGUAAUCUUGGAAUCUGGGGCACCCAGGAGGAUGGUCUUAACAAAAGGAAAAAGUUCCAAGCUGCCAAGAAGUUGCAGAAGGGAUUCUGAAUAUCUGGGAAGUAUGUUGGAGAAGCUACUCUGUGUUGAAGAAAAGGAAAAUGGGAAGGCAGAAAUAAAGCAAACUUGGAUUCCUGCACAAUUUAGUUUAGGAAAGACUGAAUUUUCUUAGCAUAUUUAAUUUCAGUGGUUGCCAGUCAUUUGAGAAGAAAGAGAGACCCAAAAAGAGACCUCUUCCUUCCAAUAAUUGUUGAUCAUUCAUAGGGACCAGGGACUUUGCUAAUUUUCAGCCAUACAAAGCGUAACAAGAAAUUCUUGUCCUCAAAGAGUUUACACUCUAAAAGAAAGAGGCCAAAGGGAGAAAAAAAAGAUAAAAUAGAUUUCCAAGUUGUGGUAUAUGCAAUGAACGACACAAAAUAUACACUUCUUAUAUUUUUUGUUUUCGGUUUUCUACAAUUUAACUGCCCUGUAAAAUCUGGGGUAAAAUAACAGCCAUCUCCAUAAUUUAUAUAAUCAACUACUGUUGGCUUAGGUCCUAUGUAAGAAAUUCUAGGAGUUCCCGUCCUGGCUCAGUGGAAACAAAUCCAUCUAGGAACCAUGAGGUUGCGGGUUUGAUCCCUGGCCUCGCUCAGUGGGUUGAGGAUCCGGCAUUGCCGUGAGCUGUGGUGUAGGUUGCAGAUGUGGUGUAUGUUGCUGUGGCUAUGGCAUAGGUCAGCAGCUUUCGCUCUGAUUAGAUCCCUAGCCUGGGAACCUCCAUCUGCCACGGGUGUGGCCCUAAAUUAAAGAAAAAAAAAAAAUCCUACAUAGGAUUUCUAGUGAUUGAUUACCUUAUGACAAUCUUCAGAAUCUUUUUAUUUAUUUAUUAUUAUUUAUUAUAUUUUAUUUUAUUUUCCCACUGUACAGCAAGGGGAUCAAGUUAUCCUUACAUGUAUACAUUACAAUUACAUUUUUUCCCCCCAUCCUUUGUUCUGUUGCAACAUGAGUAUCUAGACAAAGUUCUCAAUGCUACUCAGCAGGAUCUCCUUGUAAAUCUAUUCUAAGUUCUGUCUGCAGAAUCUUUUGAAAUUCUGUAGACCUAGCAUAUUAAACACUGAGGAGGUCUUCAGAGCCAAUUCUAGUAACUAAGUCAGUGAGGUUGACUGCUGCCUAUGAGGUUUCUAUUGAGACCUCCUUUCUGUUUGCUAGCCCUACCUCCAACACAAUGCCCAUCCACUGGCUACAUAUCCAGAAAUUCCAGGGUUGAGAAUUCUAAGAGACUGGCCUAAGAGGAAAACAGCAAGAGGUGAUUAGUCAUAGAGCUGCUAGUGACAAGAAAGAGAGGAAAAAGGAAUAUACACAGAGGCCCCCCCCCCAAAAAAAAAACAAACAAGAAAACUGACUGAAAAUAUUCCAUGUAGGAGAGUGAACUCACAGCAUUUCCAGAUCACAGUAGUAACCCACGUAAACAGGCAGGGUGGGGAAGAGAAUUUAUCCUAAACUGAAGGAUAGUGUGGGAAGCCACUGGAGGUCCCAAUUCUAUGGUAGGCUUCAGGCACAGUCCUGAACAUUCUUUUAGGCAUGUGAUUACAAAGCCAUUAGAAGUAGGAAAUCAAGUAGAUGACUUAUUCUUAUAUUACAAGGAUAAUGGUGCUGUAGUUGCUAGAACACUGAGAGACAAUGUAAAAAUCUAUUAAUGCCUUGUUCUUACAUACCUACUACUGAAAAAGGCAAGAAGAGUAAUGAACUAGAACAAUCAAGUAAAAUGACUCUUCUUGAGCCAUUUUAUGUGUGUCCAUCAGCCUUUCAGGGAAACUCAUCCUCCACCCUGUUCCAAAGUAUUCCUGGUCAGGUGGUUUGGUCCAAGGAUGAGUAUGUGAUUUAGGCUCAGCCAAUGAGAGUAUUUUAUCUUCCUAAUCACUGUGAUUUGCUCAUGAAAGAGUGUGGGAUAUAAGGUGUACCAGUCAGAAGUCUCUCUGGCUAUCCGGAAAAACCCCCUUUCUCUAGGAUCACAGACUCUAAGAACUGUAGAGGUCUCGGACAGACAGAGUCCAUCUUGCUGCCUCAGAGUCAACUUGAAGGUGGAGCCAAGAAGAGGCAAACAGUAGCUAGGGAGUAGGGGAAAAGAGAGCCUAGCUGAUACUAUAUCCAUUCUAAGGAUCCUUGUGUGGAUGAAGAUGAGUAGAAGGACAGGUGUCUACCCUUCUCUGAGGAUAGAGCAAUCAUGGCCAUGACUGACUAUAAACCAGUUGUCAGGAGCAAAUAACCAGCAUGGGACUGUUUGAGGCUGCUUGUCUUUGGCUGACUUCAAGAUUAGUGUAUACCAGUUCAUUCUCCUUGAAGCAUUACUGUGCAUCCCACUGCCUGAUGUCAACCAGAAUCACCCCAUUUACCCAGGAAAAUGUGUGAAGGAGAAAUAGGAAGACCAAUAUAGCAUCCAAGUCCAAUAUAAUUGGUCUACUUGUCUUUCUCACACAUUGGACUUUAAGAUGUUUGAAGGCAGGUCCUGUCUCUCCCACUAUUGGAUCUUCAGACCUAGUACAGCCCCAGAAUUCAGUUAUUUCAGUGAAGCAUUGAAUGAGUGAAUCUGAUCAAACGUACAGAGAUGGAAGCCGUGAAAUAUUCAGCCAGAUAAAUUAUUUGCUUUGGAUUAAAGCACUCCCUCUCCGAACAUCCUCUGAAAAAAUGCAAAUAUUCAAAGGAGACAUGAGGUAUUUCCCUCUUAACCAGCAAUUCUCAUUUUUGGCAGCUAUUAGAACAAGGGGAACUAUAAAAACUGGAUUUUAGAGAACAUUCUUAGUGUGAUAGAAAGGGUACAUAUUUAUGUAACUAAUGUGAAAAAUGCAUUGGCAUUAUCUCCUAAAGUUGAACAUUUGUAUACAUGUGACCCAACAAUUAAUUCACUCUGAGGGAUGGACCCAAGGGAAACUCAAGCAGAUAUACAGUAGGAGACGUGGAAGAAUGUUCAUAGCUGCAAUGAUCACAAUGCAAAAACCUGGAAGCAACUCAAAUGCCCAUCAACAGGAGAGUGGAUGGAUAAAUUGUGAUGUAUUCACACAACUGAGUAUUAUAUGGCAGUAAAAACGAUGAAUAACACUAAUGUACAACAAUGCGUAUGAAUGCUAGCAAUGAAACAAAGCUAAGUGAAGAAAGUAAAUGCUCAAAAUGUGUACAAUAUGAUAUUUUUAUAGAGUUGAGGACAACUAAUAUAAAACUAUACUUCAUAGAAAUAUAUAGAUUUAAUAAAAUAUAUAUUU